CCUCCUCUUCCUCAUUGUCGGUGCUGCUGAGUUUUUCCGCGUCACUCUCCAGCAGGUCACUUCCCGGCCCCGUGUUGUGCGGGGAGCGAGACUCCGCCUUCAGCAGAAUUCCUGGAGAAGAACAAUGGGCUCUCAUGUUUUGGUCUUAAUGGGCCAACCUGGGAAGCGAUUCUCCUUGAGGUUCAGCUCCGGACAGGAUGAGAAUGCAGGGAAGAGCUUCAAGCUCCAGAGCGAACGGGAAGGAUGUAACGUGGAGAAUCAGGAUGUUUGGAGCAUCUCUGACCUGCCUGGAAUUCAGUAGCCGGUCCACGAGACCCAAACCGGUGUCUGUGUUGCAGUAAGAGGCACUGAGAAGCACAGAGAAAAGGAAACCGUCCGCAUCGUUAAUGUCAAAAAGUAAGUCUCUUACGGAAUUCUUCUGUGUCACAAAGACCUGCUGACAUCCCAGUGGGCGUGGUCAUGGACCAGGAUGUAAAGCGUAUAGGAGUUGCUGUGCGCUUCCUGUAUCAAGCUGUCAACUCGCACUUGAGCGCUUUGAUCCAUCUUGACCACGUAGCGCUCUGCUUCCCGCUGAGACACACAAUCUUGUUCGACACUUCCAAGUUCUCGAAGAACACCUGAAAUCCAAGUUUCAAGUCAACGCGGAUGGGUGGAGUACGGUCUGUUGAAACGUGACCUCGGACGGAGGGACCAGGAUGAGGAAGUUGACCCGGUCAAAGGAGACAAGGUCCAAGUUCUGGGUGCUGGAGUCUGCUAUGGCGCAAACGUGAGACAGCAGCUUUCUGGCUACCGCCAGCUGGAUGGGCCGGAUAUCACGCCACUCCACAGCGUACUCUACAUGCAUGCACACACACAGAUUCAUAUGGGAUGUUAAGUUAAAAAAAAAAAACAGCACAGUAAUACGCUUUGUCGUAUUUGUGUCAUCUGCCUCACCAGAACAUGUUUCCUUAGGGGGCAGAACUCUCUCUUUAGGGCUGUGUGAAUCUUUUGGACUGUGUGUGUUUUUCACAGUCUUUUCCUCUGUUGAUUCCUGACUGCUGGAUAAGGGAGAGGGCUGGUUGCUGUCCAAGGUUGCACUGUCCAGUAGGGAAUCCAUAUCACCCUCUGCGAAACAGGAAGUUCGAUUCUGGGAUUCAAUAUGUAUCGUCUGCUCACAUCAGCGUGCACGUCACAGACGUCGCGUCAUCGUACAAAUUGUAACAGAACAGAACAUGCGCCAAAUAAACACAUAGCAGAGACUCAAGACAUUCCAAGUAAGUAAUGAGACAAGCACACCUUGUCCAAGGGAACUGCAGAACUGGAUGAGCUCCUGGGCGUCACCAGAGGAAAGCUGGUGGUUGAUUUCUCUUAAACCCUCAUUGGGAGAGAACAUAUUUUCGGCCAAGGCUCGACACUGGUGUUUACCUGUACCAAAAGCACACGCAUAUGCUUGAUGUCUAUUUUUUGUUUUUACAAUUUUUGUUAAAAACAAACUCCCACCUGUGACUACCACACACGACUGUGUUUCAUGCCCCGAAGCGGUCACAAUGACGACGAUGUAAUUUGUGUUUUCGAACCGCCCCUCCAUCAACUUUCUAAACAUCUGCUGAAGGCCCUGAGCCAAAGAGCCCACUUGCUCCCCCAACACCACAACCCCCUCUCCACAGGAUGAAGCGGCUAGCUGGGCGAGCCAAGGAAGCUGGCUGGGAGUCAGCGGCUGCUGUGGUGCUAAGCCAAGAUGCUGAGGGAGCCCUGGAAGGACAGGAGGUGCCUGGAGAGCCAAGGAAAGCAGAUUUAUGCUAAUAUCACUAAGUCAAAGCCUUUAUUUGUACAAAUGUGUUUUCAUACAAUAAUUUGCUUCCAUAAGUAAUUGAUACAUUAAUAACAAAUACUGCAAGGCACCUUCUAGUGAACCAAAUACAGUGACAUACAGUAGUAUAUGUAUGUGUAUGAGAAAUGAACCUCAAUUCCGUAGUGCCUCCCUUGAGUGGCUGGUGUUUGAGGUUGUUGAUUCUGUCUGAUUUCACUGAGGUGGGACUCCCUCCAUGACCUCAUGAAUAUCUGCUCCAAGUCCUCAAUCAGAGGCACUUGCUCGGGGCCUUGCCAAUGUGAGGGAGAAAAUUUGAAAUCAGAAGGAUGCAGGAAUCAGGAAAAAUACGGAAUAGGAGCUUGUAAAAGUCUCAAAGUUGCAGUUUUAGAUGAAUAUAUCUUCUAACUUCCUCUAUGACACAGUGCCAGUCUGCCCUCUAGUGGUCAUUAAAAGUAACAACAACAAAGUGAAAAAUGACAUUCUCUAAGUCUUUCCAGAGUGCAACACUGACCAAGCU
Long non-coding RNA from Hippocampus zosterae (dwarf seahorse), 2306 nucleotides. RefSeq lists it as uncharacterized. The record is from RefSeq and is a predicted model, not a curated record. The transcript is spliced from 5 exons. NCBI's taxonomy places the organism in Eukaryota, Metazoa, Chordata, Actinopteri, Syngnathiformes, Syngnathidae.